UUGCAUUUAAUAUAAACUUGGCCUCUAGAGGGCAAAGCGUAUUUGCCUAUACGUCUAGAGAUUACAGUUAUCUCUUGAUAACCUAUUAUAACAAACGCAAUGACAGCUUAUGUCAAUGGUGAGAUUUAAAGUCGAACGUUCUUAAGCAUAUGAGGAAAUGAUUGACGAGGUAUACUUGACAGAUACAGCAAGGGAACGCAGUUACUUAACAUCUUGAUGGAGUAAUAAAUGGGAUAAUUUUUUGUGUUAUAACAAAUAAACAGUUGUUGUGUUUUUUUCACGUGAUAACUGUUGGACAAUUUGUUUUUAUAAAUGGAACAUGUGAAUGGGUGUCAAAGAAUUGGUAAUUUAUAUUAUUUUCACAAUAUUUAAACAACCAACGGGGCCUUUAACAAUAAAUCUGUUCAUGUUUUGACCUUGAUUAGCAUUUUACCAAUCUUGAUAGAUAAAUGGACACGACUAGGAACAUACCAAACAAUAAAACGUCGUAUUCCGAAGUAAAUGAUAGUGUGCACUUUCAAAACGCUUCAAGACUAAAAAGAUCAUGGAAAGCCUGAAGCAGAAUAUCAGUGCAGAGUUUGGUGUCAUAGGAACAGACAAUGUGACAGUGGCAUCAACUAUAGACAAAAUUAACAAACUUAAUCUCGAGGAAGUGGUUCGUCUUAUCCCACUCAUAAUUUUCUUGUUGCUGAUUGUGCUAGCUGGGAUUCCUGGCAACGGCCUCGUUUGCUUCAUCUAUCGCAACGAGUAUUUCAUGUCCAGCUCCCGUUGGUUUAUCUUUUUCUUGGCCGCAGUGGACCUUCUGAUGUGUAUUUUGAUAAUUCCCAGCGAGAUUGCUACAACGUUCUUCCAGUACAAUUUUACCAGUACGGCGUCCUGCAAGAUCACCGCUUUCUUCAACCUGUGGAGCCUUCUGUCACUCGGUUUGACACUUCUUGCAGUCUCUGUGGAUAGAUACCGUAAGGUCUGCAAGCCUCUUGGCUGGCAAAUUAACUUCAACAAAGCCCGCAUUCUUAGCGUGGCGUGUGUCGGCCUCUCACUUUUAAUUUCUUUACCUGUGUUGUUGCUGUACAAUAUUCAUGAAAAACCAUUUAAAGCAUUUAACAUCACGGGUAAUGAAUGUUCUUUCCGGACAGACGGUGGGAUGAGCUGGACUUUUCUCUUUGUUAUGUUUGGUAUGACAUUGUUCGUCACCGCUCUGACAUCGAUCUGUAUACUAUACUGUUUCAUUGGCAAGGAAAUCAAACGGCAUAUUGACAAGGAAAGGAUCAAGAGGCACAUAAGCAUGACAGCCUCAAUGGCAUUUAAUACUAAUCUCCUUAUUCGUCCUAUAACGCAAGAAAUAACCGUCAAGUGUACCAAGAAAUCGGUAGGAUUUGCAACGUCCGUGUCAAUGAAACCUAAAAAAUCCGUGAAUUUUGGUGUUUUGAAUGUCGAACAAGCGUUGCAAAAAGAGAAACAUGGUCAUGUGAAUGGAAUACGUAGCGACAGGACUAUACAUGAUGUAGUACGAAAAACAAGAAUUAAAGAAAGUGCAGAGAACACCAAACAUGAAAACGAUAGGAGAAAGAACUUACCAGGGGCAACUGAAUCUGAUUGUAAAUCAUUUAAUAUGGCAUGUGAGUCAGAGUACAGGCCAUUAAAGAAUUCAAAAGAAACGGACGCAAAUAAGUGGAACGACAAUCACACGGAUAGAGACUCUUCUCAUUUAGAUGAUUCGUGCCUCCAGGCAUGCCCGUGUGAAAAACAGCAUGUUUCAUGUGAUUUAGCGGUGAACCCGGACAAUAAGGAUACACUUACUUUAAGCUCUGUUCCGACAUCUGAAAUCAACAGUAUGGAGGCUAGCAAUUUUAUGACAUCCAAGUGCGCGGAAACAGACGCUAUAAAUUCAAAUGAAACACCGAUUCACUCUGGUGAUCAACAACUUCAAGAAAAGCGUGAGAGCAUGUUAUCGCUCAAGGUUACGUCAUUGAGCCCAGAGGACGUUUCGACAGAAUACGAAGAAUCUUCUAGCAACGCCAACUUCGCAGACGAAGAAUCUAUGGACGAUCUGAAUUUGCCGCCAAAACGUACAAUGACUAUAAAGGAACGGAACAAGUCGAAACGAAUACGACGAGCUCGUGCGAAGAAGGCCACCCUCAGCAUGAUAAUGAUUUCCGUGGCUUUUGUCUUGAGUUAUCUCCCGUUUUUGUGCCUUCUAAUAAUGAAAAGCUUGCAUCCUAAGCUGGAGGAAUGGAUGACUGACGCUGGAAGGGCGACCUUUAAGUUCUUUUUGCGAUCUUUUUUCUUCAAUUGCGCGAUAAAUCCGUUUAUUUAUGGCAUUUCUGACUCCAAAUUUCGAAAGAGCUGCAAGGAGGUUAUUGACAAAGUUUUUGCUUGUCACAAACGCUAAUUCUUAGAUUUUCGUUUACUUUCCUGUGUGUUUCUAUGCAUAAUUGUAAUUGUAAGAAGGCUAUGAUUGCGCUCAGUGUACGUAUAUACGUUUUGCGUCGUCAUAAUAUCUGACUAGAAAUAUGUGUCGCGUUCUGAGAAAACUGGGCUUAAUGCAUGUGCGUAAAGUGUCAUCCCAGAUUAGCCUGUGCAGUUCGCACAUGCUAAUCAGGGACGACACUUUCCGCCUAAACUGGAUUUUUGCUAAGAAGAGACAUCAUUUAAACGAAAAAUGUCAUAAAAGCGGAAAGUGUCGUCCCUGAUUAGUCUGUGCAGUUCGCAAAGGCUAAUCUGGGACGACACUUAACGCACAUGCUUUAUGCCCAGUUUUCUCAGAAAACGACUCAUAUAGUCUGUAGCUUUUAUAUGUUUUUCCGAAAUAAUAUUUUGAUUUGAUAUUUAUAAAUGAGCUCAUGACUUUAUGUUAUGUUUUUGAACGCUUAAUAGAAUAAAAAAAAUGUUGAUUGGAUUUUUUUGUAACCUUGAGAUUAAUGUGUGCAUGCUGUAAAUAUUCGCUUCAUUAACAUUGUAUGUGAUACAUAAAAUUGUACAUAUUUUAUGCUUAAUAUUGUUUGAUAGACUAGUAGUUUGGUAGCAAAAUGUCAGUUGGUUCAAUAUUUCCCUGACUGAGUUGGAUAUGAAGAAAUAGCAUACUGUGUUGGAUAUGACUAUAUUACUGUGUUAAAAUUUUAGAAACACUAUAUACUAUUUGUAUUAUGACAAUGUUCUUGAAGCACACGUUUCGAAUCACAGAAAUACUUUAAAGUUAACGAUUGUGUUUAGUCAUUUAAAGCAAUAUAUUGCCGUUGACUUGACCGACAAGCAUGCAUACCUUGAAGAGUUAUUGUGUAGUUUUAUAUAGAAUUACACAAAGUUAAUAAUGAUAUAUAUUAGUUAUAGCAAUAUAUUACCGUUAUACAUGACUACUAAGCUUUUAUUAAUUAUCCCCCGCCAUAGGCGGAGGGAUAUUGUUUUGGCGUUGUCCGUCCGUCCUUCCGUCCCUCCGUCCGGAGCCAUAUCUUGGAAGUGUUUUGUCGGAUUUCAUUGAAACUUGGUAUGAGUAUAUAUAUGGAUAAGAGGAUGAUGCACGCCAACUAGCAUUGUACACCAUCUGUUAACAACGGAGUUAUGACCCUUUGUAUUUUGAAAAAAAAUGCUUUUGAAUAUAGCACUUUUGUGUCUGGAGCCAUAUCUUGGAAGUUCUUUGGUGGAUUUCAUUGAAUCUUUGUAUGAGUAUAUAUAUAUAUGGAUAAGAGGAUGAUGCAAGUCAAAUAGCAGUGUACACCAUCUGUUAAUAACGGAGUUAUGGCCCUUUGUAUCUUGAAAAAAUGCUUUUUAUUAUAAGCUUAGAGCUUUAUCUCCACUUAACACAUGAGCCAGAGCCAUGAAACUUGCCAUACUUGUUCUCAAUCAUCUGGGGAUGCUUCACAUUCAACACCCGUAAUCAUAGGGGCUAAGGUUAAAGUCACAAAUUUGAUGAAUUUUUCAUUAUUUAGUCAUUCCUUUACUAUGCAUCAUGGCAUUCUGUAAUAACUGUCUACAAUUGUUCUCCUUCAUCUAGCUGAGUGUCAAAUCUAAGAUCCAGGUUGCUAGGGUCAUGGUCAAAGUCACACACAAAGGUCAAAAUCACACAUUUUGAUUCAAUAUGCCUUAUUUGGUAAGGAAUCUACCAUACUAAAGUUCUACACCCAUCCCUAAACAAAAUUUAUUUGGCGGGGGAUAUCAAUUCAACGAAUGUGCUUGUUUGAAAUGUUAUUAUGUCGUUUUAUAUCGCAAC
Molecule: RNA transcript, 4207 nt
Organism: Dreissena polymorpha
Lineage: Eukaryota; Metazoa; Mollusca; Bivalvia; Myida; Dreissenidae
Exons: 2
Source: RefSeq, a predicted model, not a curated record